Molecule: microRNA precursor, 78 nt
Organism: Gorilla gorilla gorilla (western lowland gorilla)
Lineage: Eukaryota; Metazoa; Chordata; Mammalia; Primates; Hominidae
Source: Ensembl
AAUAUGAAACUGACUGAAUAGGUAGGGUCAUUUUUCUGUGACUGCACAUGGCCCUACCUAUUCAGUUAGUUCCAUAUU